This 344-nucleotide ribosomal RNA is filed under the name uncultured bacterium. RNAcentral's name for it is "partial 16S ribosomal RNA". It matches the Rfam family "Bacterial small subunit ribosomal RNA", at positions 1 to 353 of the family's 1533-position model. The record is from RNAcentral.
UAGAGUUUGAUCCUGGCUCAGGAUGAACGCUGGCGGCGUGCUUAACACAUGCAAGUCGAACGAUGAACCUCACUUGUGGGGGGAUUAGUGGCNAACGGGUGAGUAACANGUGAGUAACCUGCCCUUGACUCUGGGAUAAGCCUGGGAAACUGGGUCUAAUACCGGAUAUGACUGAUCAUCGCAUGGUGGUUGGNGNAAAGCUUUUGCGGUUUUGGAUGGACUCGCGGCCUAUCANCUUGUUGGUGGGGUAAUGGCCUACCAAGGCGACUACGGGUAGCCGGCCUGAGANGGUGACCGGCCACACUGGGACUGAGACACGGCCCNGACUCNUACGGGAAGCNGCA